Molecule: transfer RNA, 83 nt
Filed under: Acaryochloridaceae cyanobacterium RU_4_10
Lineage: Bacteria; Bacillati; Cyanobacteriota; Cyanophyceae; Acaryochloridales; Acaryochloridaceae
Also listed under: 1 other name
Description: tRNA-Leu
Rfam family: tRNA
About the family: Transfer RNA (tRNA) molecules are approximately 80 nucleotides in length. Their secondary structure includes four short double-helical elements and three loops (D, anti-codon, and T loops). Further hydrogen bonds mediate the characteristic L-shaped molecular structure. tRNAs have two regions of fundamental functional importance: the anti-codon, which is responsible for specific mRNA codon recognition, and the 3' end, to which the tRNAs corresponding amino acid is attached (by aminoacyl-tRNA synthetases). tRNAs cope with the degeneracy of the genetic code in two manners: having more than one tRNA (with a specific anti-codon) for a particular amino acid; and 'wobble' base-pairing, i.e. permitting non-standard base-pairing at the 3rd anti-codon position.
Source: RNAcentral
GGGGGCGUGGCGGAAUGGUAGACGCUACGGACUUAAAAUCCGUUGACCGCAAGGUCGUAUGGGUUCAAGUCCCUUCGCCCCCA